UGAUACGAGUUUUUCCCAAUUUGAUAUUGUGACGUCAGAAGCGGGGCUUUUAGCUUGAUUCUGCAUUCAGGUCGUAGAGGGCGGGAUUUGAUUCUGUGGAGCUACUGAUUUACGUGUUUUGGACAUGUUUAUUACACUGAAAGUCUACUGUAAUUUUUGUUUUCCUGAGACAGCCCAAUGUUGUAAGUAGAAAAUCACUGCAUAUUAUGAUAGGUCAAUAUUUACUCUUUUGCCUGAUGUUAAUGGUGAUUAUAAUGGUGGAUUGAUGUGAUGUAUGAAAUAAGAUUAGAAUCAUAGAACAUCCUUACGUUUUGAAUGUAAAUGUACCACAUAUAAGUUUUGGUGUAAGUAGCGUAUAAGAUAAUUCAUGCUGGAAAAGUACGAAAUAUCCGAGUAAGGUUAUGAUAUUAUGAAUGAGCAAGAAGCUCUAUGAAUGUAUGACAGAAUAUGAUUAUGAUUUAAUUAUGAACAGAAGAUGGUCUAAACUUAGUAAGCUAGGGAAAGUAGCAUUCGAGGUAAAAAGGGAAAUUUUAGCCCAAAAUGACAGAAAGUAGGUCAGGUCAAUUUGCAUGAAAAGGGUAGGCAUACAGAAGAAUGGAGUGAUUAUUUUGAUACAGGAAUCAAGGAUAAUAAUGUCAUUUAUUUGUUAUUAUUCGGUGCUAUGCAUUUGGAAGACAGUUUGUUAUAUCAAACUUGAUUGUUUAAUUGCGUGAUGCAUAUGUAUAUCAGCCAUGCUGAUAAUUUGUUUUAUCUGUUCUAUCUUUUAUUAAAGGUUGAACCACUCAUUGGUAUCAUCGCAAGGGCAUUGUUGUCGAGUCGUCAUUGCAGUUGGGCUUAGUAAUACACAUAACGUCACCGUUCCUACAUCAGUUCAACAACAGCUUCCAGGUCCACAUCAGACUACAGACCGGCUGUUACAAUGAGUACUGUUGGACAAAAGAAUGCCAAAGGAGACCCUGAGGGUGGAGUCCGUCCUGAAGAUUCGGCCAGCCAGUGUGGGAGCACUACAUCUUCAGUGCGACUGCGGACUAUGGCACGUAGAGCUGCUUUAGCUGUUGAGGCUGAAGCACUGAAACAGAAGAUGGCGCUGGAAAAGGAGGAGUUAGCUUUGAAACAGCGUAAAGCUCAGCUAGAUAUGGAUACCAGGAUGAAAAUAUCUGAUGCUGAGACACAAGUCUAUUUGAAUGAAGCGGAUAGGCUAUUGUCGGGUGAAGCUAGUGCUCCUCAGAAACAUCCAGUUGAAGUGAAUGAAACGUUGGCUUAUCCGCUGGACUCUGGAAUGCCAACGCCAACCCAGGUUGAACAGAGUACGAAGCCAACGGAGGCUUUGUUGCUGCAGAUUUUGCAGGAGGGACAGAAACAACAGAGGCAAUUAUUGGAGUCUCUUAAUGUGCCUCAAACACAAAUGAUGACGUAUGAUGGCAACCCUCUUAAAUAUUGGGAAUUUUGGAGGGCGUUUGAGAACUCAAUAGACUGUACAAGUAUCCCGGACAGUGCCAAACUGACCCGCCUUCUAUACUACUGCGAAGGAGAUGCCCGCAAAAUCUUGCAGCCUUGUAGUAUUAUGCCAUCUGGCGAAGGGUAUAUGAGGGCGAAGGCCAUGCUACAAGAGAGGUUUGGUACACCCUUCAUGAUAGCUGAUGCAUGGAUCAGGAAAGUGACCGGAGGGCGGAAGAUCACCGGACGGGACAAGAGGGCCCUAAGAGAAUUCGCAGAUGAACUGCAAGUUUGCUCACUGACUUUAGAUGCCAUGGGUUACAUUGGCGAUUUGUCACCACAGUUAGUCCUUGUCCAGAUAGUUGAACGACUACCACUAUACUUAUGCGGGAGAUGGCUGAGUGUGGUACGAAGAAUCAGGCGAGAGGAUAGACUUCCUAACAUAUUUGACCUGGUGGAUUUUGUCCAAGGUGCAGCCGAUGAGGAGAAUGAUCCGGUCUACGGAAGGCUUCUUACCAAGGAUCAGGGCGGUAGAGGCACCUCCCAGAACAAGAAGUCGACAGGACUGAAGAAGGGUGCUUUCUCCACGACAGCCACAGGCAAUGAUGUGACACCACAGCUGUGUGUGAUAUGCAAGGAAUCGCACAGUCUGUUUGGCUGUGACAAGUUCAAACGAAUGCAGCUAGAUGACCGGCUGAAACUGGUGAGGGAAAACAGGCUUUGUUUUAACUGUUUGGAGAAGGGACACAUGUCGAGAUACUGUAAACUAAAGAGGGUAUGUUCAGUUUACGGAUGCAACAGAAAACAUACUAAGUUUCUCCAUCAGCAGAAACCAGAACAACCUCAGCAAGCACAAGAGGAAGCUGUUAGUCCUUCACCUGAGAAGAUUGAGAGUCAUGUCACAGGGGCCGGGAACAUGAAGGUGCUAUUGCCAAUCGUUCCUGUCUGGGUUUAUGCGGCAGGCAGUAAUAUUGGUGUAGAGACUCUAGCACUGUUGGAUUCAGGCUCGACAAGUACCUUUUGUACUAAGAAGUUGGCAGCAAGAGUGAAGGCAAGUGGAUUGUCCAGUAUAGUGUCUGUCUCAACUCUGGAAAGAGCCAACAGCGAACUUCAGACCAGUGUUGUAAGCCUGAAAGUUGCAGCAAAGUCAUCAUCCAGGAUGGUGAAUCUCCCUAAAGUCUAUACCAAGACAGACAUUAACAUUAAUCCAGAUCACAUGCUAAAGAAGGAGGAUGUUGACAAACUCCAACAUCUCACAGAUGUCGACUUUCCAUCGACUACCAAACUGCAGGUGGAUCUGCUGAUUGGGCAAGAUUAUCCAGAGCUUAUUUGUCCCCUCGAGAUACGACGUGGUGAGCCAAGAGACCCUUAUGCAGUAAGGACAGUGCUGGGGUGGACCCUGAAUGGGCCGGUUCAGAGUGAUGGUAGGAGGAUGGCUGUGACGUCACACUAUAUCUCAGAUGAAAUAUCCCUUGAAGACCAAUGUAAGCUGUUUUGGUCUCUAGAAGGCAUUGAAACCCUCCAUUGUGAUGCUAAAGGAAUGUCAGUCAAGGACCGAGAGGUAUUGAAGCUAUGGGAGGAUAAUGUGGUAAUGAAUGGAGGUCACUAUCAACUGCCCAUACCAUUCAAAGAACGACCCCCGCCACUUUGUGACAAUAGAUGGAUGGCCCAGCAGAGACUCCAUUCACUUAGAAGACGACUUCUCAGGGAUACGGCAAUGCAUGCUAAGUAUACACAGGGCAUGGCUGACCUAGUUGCCAAGGGCUACGCCGAGGAAGUUGAUGAAACUCAACCGCCAAAUGGAACUUGUUGGUACCUACCACAUCACCCAGUGAUAAAUCCGAAGAAGCCAGACAAACUUCGGAUUGUGUUUGAUUGUGCUGCCAAGUGCUUAGGAGUUGGUCUGAACGAUGUGGUGAUGCAAGGGCCGGAUCUGACCAACAAGUUGACUGGUGUACUUCUUCGAUUUCGUCGAGCACCAAUUGCCAUCAUGGCUGAUGUGGAAGCCAUGUUCCACCAGGUAACAGUCCAUCCAGAUGAACGAGAUGUACUUCGCUUCUUGUGGUGGCCUGAUGGAAGAGUGGAUGAAGAUCCUAAGACCUACAGGAUGUGUGUGCACCUGUUUGGGGGCACAUGGAGCCCCAGCUGUUGCUCGUUUGCCAUGCGGCAAACAGCAAAGGACUAUGGAGAUCAGUGCAAUACACAAGCACCAAGAGUAGUAGAGAUGAAUUUCUACGUAGACGACUGCCUGGUCUCUGUUGAAGAGGAAGAUGAAGCUAUAAGACUGGCAUCAGAAUUGAGAACCUUGUUGCAGAAGGGUGGAUUUCGACUCGCUAAGUGGAUGAGUAGCAACACAAGAGUUCUGCAAACCAUACCAGUACAAGAUCGGGCCAAGCAAGUGGUUGGACUCGACCUGAACUUUGAUGCCCUACCAAUAGAGCGUGCACUUGGUAUGAUAUGGGAUGUAGAAAGAGAUAGCUUUGUCUACAAGAUUCAGGUGAAGGACAAGCCUUUAACACGAAGAGGACUCUUAAGUGUUGUUUCUUCUGUCUACGACCCUUUGGGAUAUGCUAGCCCAUUUGCACUGAGAGGGAAGUUGAUUCUUCAGGAGUUGACCCGGAAGAAGCUGAACUGGGAUGAGCCUAUCCCUGACAGUGAUGCAAAGAAAUGGAAGGCUUGGAUUGAGGAACUUCCACAGAUGGAAGGAGUUGAGGUCAGUAGAUGUGUCAAGCCUCACGACUUUGGCAGGGUAACUGAUUACGAGAUCCACAACUUCUCUGAUGCAUCUGAAGUAGCCUACGGGGCUGUAUCAUAUCUAGUGAUGAGGAAUGAGGAAGGAGAGGUGCAUAGCAGUAUCAUCAUGGCCAAGUCACGCCUUGCUCCAGUAAAGACCGUUACCAUACCUCGACUAGAAUUGAUGGCAGCUACACUUGCUGUGAAUAUGGAUGUCGUGAUAAGAGGAGAGCUAGACCUGCCUGUGAAGAAAUCAUACUUUUGGACUGACAGUAUGAUAGUGUUGCACUACAUAAAGAAUGAACAUAGAAGGUUCCGUGUCUUUGUGUCAAACAGGGUGGCUAUGAUACACAAUGCCACAGAGAUAGACCAAUGGAGACAUGUUGGCACAACGGAGAAUCCGGCGGACAUCGUAUCCAGAGGCAUGUCACCGUCUAAUCUGAAAGAUGAGGAGAAGUGGUUUGUGGGACCAGCCUUUCUACAACAGCCGGAGGAGAGAUGGCCCACAUGUCCCAUAGAGAAGGAUGGGAUCAGAGAGGACGAUCCAGAGGUGAAGCCUGUAGUCCAGAUCUUUGCUACAAGUGAGGGCAAGAAGUGCAUCGACCAGCUCUUCAUGCACUAUUCUUCCUGGACGAGACUACGCAGAGCGGUAGCUUGGUGGCUGAGGUUAAAGGAAACCCUUAGAAGGAAUGUAAAGAACUGUACUCCAGUUAAAGAAUUGAGCAGACACUUGACAGUGGAGGACUUGAACUAUGCUGAAAAUGCCAUCUUUCAGCAUAUUCAGACCGAGUCGUUCGAUGAGGAGAUGACAACCUUAAGGGAGAGAGUAAGAGAUCCACAGGGACGAGAGAGAACCGUGAAGAAAGGGUCGAGGCUUGCAAAGUUAGAUCCUAUUUUGCAAGAUGGUCUACUGAGGGUAGGAGGCAGGCUUGGAAGUGCACAGAUCCCAGACACUGCAAAGCAUCAGGUGAUACUGCCUAGAAGGCAUCAUGUGUCAGCACUGUUGGUAUGGCACAUACACAAGAAGGUUGGUCAUCAAGGCCAAAAUCAUGUUUUGGCAGAGCUCAAGCAGUACUAUUGGAUUCUGGGAGCUGGGGUCCUGGUGAGAGGCUUGGUGAGAAAGUGUGUUACUUGUCGUCGCUACCAGGCCAAGGUCGGCAAGCAGAAAAUGGCUGAUCUACCUGCCUUCCGAGUAGAAGCUGAUGAGCCAGCAUUUACUCAUGUGGGGAUGGACUACUUUGGCCCUUACGAGAUCAAGUGUGGGCGCUCUGUAAGAAAGAGAUACGGCGUGAUAUUCACAUGCAUGACAACUAGAGCUAUCCACAUCGAGGUUGCCAAUUCUUUAGACACCAGCUCAUGCAUUGAUGCCAUCAGACGCAUGAUGAGCAGGAGAGGACCAAUAAAGAGGUUGGUCUCGGACAAUGGCACCAAUUUGGUAGGCGCUAAAGCUGAGCUGAGGAAGGCACUGAGUGAUUGGAACGUUGAUGAAAUCUCAAACUUCACGGCUAAUCACAGUAUAGAUUGGAGUUUCAACCCGCCAGGGGCCUCACAUCAUGGCGGUGUGUGGGAGAGGCAGAUAAGAACAGUCAGGAAAGUACUGCAUGCUCUUCUCAACGAGCAGUAUUUAAGGACAUGUCAGUCGGAGGAGCAGCUUCACACUCUGAUGUGCGAGGUAGAGGCAAUCAUUAACAGCAGGCCUCUUACUCGUGUCUCUGAUGAUCCUGGAGAUCUGGAAGUCAUCACGCCCAGCAGUCUGCUACACAUGAAGCAGACCUCAGCACCACCUCCGAGUAAGUCCACUGAGGGAGAUGUCUUCGCCAGGAGACGUUGGAGGCAGAUGCAGUACCUGGCUGAUCUCUUUUGGAAGAGGUGGAUUAGGGAGUAUCUACCUAGUCUACAGCAACGUCAGCGGUGGCAGCAGCCUGAACGCAAUCUUCAGGUUGGUGACGUGGUUCUCAUCGCAGACGGAACUGUGCCGAGGUGUUGCUGGCUGAUGGGACGCGUUUUAGAAGUGUACCCUGGUAAGCGGGGAUAUGUACGUAGCGUGAAGGUUAAGACUGCAACGUCGACACUCGUCAGACCCAUCGCGAAGCUUUGUUUACUUCUCGAGCAAGAGGAAUCGCGAUAGACGACUUCGAGAAGUUAGCCAUUUUGAUUUAUUGUUUUAGAGCUGAUACAGAAUAAUUCCAGUUCAAUUCAAGAUAGGGAUUACUUUAGGUAGCGUUGAGCAAGAAACAUUCAACUUCUGUGGACGCAGCAUCUAGUUUCGCAUAAAUGGAUUCGGUUUAGAUUCGGUUCAACAAGAAGAGACUUUACUACAGUGAUAUUAUACAGAUACUUUGUGUUUCGUAGUUACUUGCUGAAAUGUGUAAUUGAAAUGAAGCACAACUCAUUUCUAGUUAGAAUUCAAUUUCUAAAGAUAGUAUUCUGAUUGUUAUACAAUAGUUUUUUGUAAUCAGAAGAUAAGGAAAUGUUUAAUUGAAUUGAAGCAUAACUCAUUUCUAGUUAGAAUUCAGUUUCUAAAGAUAGUAUUCUGAUGGUAAUACAAUAGUUUUUGUAAUCAGAAGUUAAGGAAAGAAAUACAGGUAGUAUGUCCUUAUUGUCAUAUUAUUAGUGUUCUGCUAUUCGGUAAGGACAUAUGUUUCCAUAGCAACCACCUUUUUUGGAUUUAAAGGGACUGUAUUUAUUCGGUUAGGAAAUAUGUUUCCAUAGCAACCACCUUGUUUGGAUUUAAAGGGAAGUCUGUAUUUAUCGAAGUCUUGAAAUUUCAAGAGAGUGACAGUUUUGUUAUACAUGUCGGCAGUGAAAAGUUUGGUAAAUUCAAAGUAUUCGGUUAAUUUAAGGGGCCGGGAUGUUGAUACGAGUUUUUCCCAAUUUGAUAUUGUGACGUCAGAAGCGGGGCUUUUAGCUUGAUUCUGCAUUCAGGUCGUAGAGGGCGGGAUUUGAUUCUGUGGAGCUACUGAUUUACGUGUUUUGGACAUGUUUAUUACACUGAAAGUCUACUGUAAUUUUUGUUUUCCUGAGACAGCCCAAUGUUGUAAGUAGAAAAUCACUGCAUAUUAUGAUAGGUCAAUAUUUACUCUUUUGCCUGAUGUUAAUGGUGAUUAUAAUGGUGGAUUGAUGUGAUGUAUGAAAUAAGAUUAGAAUCAUAGAACAUCCUUACGUUUUGAAUGUAAAUGUACCACAUAUAAGUUUUGGUGUAAGUAGCGUAUAAGAUAAUUCAUGCUGGAAAAGUACGAAAUAUCCGAGUAAGGUUAUGAUAUUAUGAAUGAGCAAGAAGCUCUAUGAAUGUAUGACAGAAUAUGAUUAUGAUUUAAUUAUGAACAGAAGAUGGUCUAAACUUAGUAAGCUAGGGAAAGUAGCAUUCGAGGUAAAAAGGGAAAUUUUAGCCCAAAAUGACAGAAAGUAGGUCAGGUCAAUUUGCAUGAAAAGGGUAGGCAUACAGAAGAAUGGAGUGAUUAUUUUGAUACAGGAAUCAAGGAUAAUAAUGUCAUUUAUUUGUUAUUAUUCGGUGCUAUGCAUUUGGAAGACAGUUUGUUAUAUCAAACUUGAUUGUUUAAUUGCGUGAUGCAUAUGUAUAUCAGCCAUGCUGAUAAUUUGUUUUAUCUGUUCUAUCUUUUAUUAAAGGUUGAACCACUCAUUGGUAUCAUCGCAA
Strongylocentrotus purpuratus (purple sea urchin) is the source of this 7825-nucleotide RNA transcript. RefSeq lists it as uncharacterized. The transcript is spliced from 2 exons. The record is from RefSeq and is a predicted model, not a curated record. Lineage: Eukaryota; Metazoa; Echinodermata; Echinoidea; Camarodonta; Strongylocentrotidae.